UGUGAGGCAGCAACAUGCUCUCCUCUAGCAUGAGAAGUAAGAGCUCUACUGGAAGCAAUGAAGUGUGUCGAAGUCAUUGGGGCUAUACCUCGAUUGUUUCGGAGACAAACUCAACUUCUCGCAGUUUCUAACUCAGAGAAUGACAGAUGGUGGGAAAUGGAUCCAUGCCUGUGUUCUUGCAAUGAAAUCUCUCAUUAGUCAGUUCAAUCAAGUGUCCUUUGCUUUGGAGAAGAGAACUGCAAAUAGGGCAGCUGAUUUUUUAGCUAAAUUGUUGCUUAAGGCCUAAUCUUUUUUGUAAUUGGCUAAUAGGAUUAACUUUUUAUAUAAAUAUUUACCAUUUAACAUGUUGCAUUUAGAUUGGUUGUAUUAAGAAAGUCUG
This 379-nucleotide long non-coding RNA is filed under the name Manihot esculenta (cassava). Its description in RNAcentral is "long non-coding RNA (MESC_LNC004452)". Lineage: Eukaryota; Viridiplantae; Streptophyta; Magnoliopsida; Malpighiales; Euphorbiaceae. The record is from RNAcentral.